GCCACCUUAGCUCAGCUGGUAGAGCAAUGCUUUCGUAAAGCAGAGGUCCCCGGUUCGAUCCCGGGAGGUGGCU
RNAcentral lists this transfer RNA (73 nucleotides) under Patescibacteria group bacterium. Its description in RNAcentral is "tRNA-Thr". It matches the Rfam family "tRNA". Rfam says of the family: Transfer RNA (tRNA) molecules are approximately 80 nucleotides in length. Their secondary structure includes four short double-helical elements and three loops (D, anti-codon, and T loops). RNAcentral also lists the same sequence under 1 other name. The record is from RNAcentral.